GCUGCAUAUAAUGAACUAAGGGUAAUUGUUUUCUUGUACUUUUAUUUAGCUCUUUUUAAUGUCUGUGGUUCCACUGGUAGAAGUUUAAAACAGCUAUUUUGAAAGCAUUAGUUCUGUUUAGAAUUUAUAUGUAGUAUUUUUCACAGAAUAGGGAUUCUGUAUACCUCAUUUGUUUUGGCAUAUAUGCUUUCAAUUUUUAUGAAGUUAAAACAGCUACUAUUUUGUUAUAGUUUGUCAUUUGUUUUUUUAGCGUAAAUGCUUUCUGAUUUAAAUCAAUGUUACUGGUGUUUUCAUAAUUGGAAGAAUGUGCUUUUGGUUAUUGAUUUUAAACUAUAAUUCCAAUCAAAGUUCAAAACCUAAUUGAAUUUAGAUGUUUAGAGUUGGAUAUCAUUAUUUUGGUCAUUUACUUUUCUUUUUACGUUUGUG
RNAcentral lists this unclassified non-coding RNA (426 nucleotides) under Hevea brasiliensis (rubber tree). The record is from RNAcentral. Lineage: Eukaryota; Viridiplantae; Streptophyta; Magnoliopsida; Malpighiales; Euphorbiaceae.